GCGGCUGUGGUGGAACCGGUAGACACGCAUGCCUUAGGAGCAUGUGCCUUCGGGCGUGGGGGUUCGAGUCCCUCCAGCCGCACCA
This 85-nucleotide transfer RNA is filed under the name Rhodospirillaceae bacterium. Its description in RNAcentral is "tRNA-Leu". It matches the Rfam family "tRNA". From Rfam's summary of the family: Transfer RNA (tRNA) molecules are approximately 80 nucleotides in length. Lineage: Bacteria; Pseudomonadati; Pseudomonadota; Alphaproteobacteria; Rhodospirillales; Rhodospirillaceae. The record is from RNAcentral. RNAcentral also lists the same sequence under 1 other name.